RNAcentral lists this ribosomal RNA (431 nucleotides) under uncultured bacterium. RNAcentral's name for it is "partial 16S ribosomal RNA". It matches the Rfam family "Bacterial small subunit ribosomal RNA", at positions 29 to 507 of the family's 1533-position model. The record is from RNAcentral.
AACGAACGCUGGCGGCAGGCUUAACACAUGCAAGUCGAGCGCCCCGCAAGGGGAGCGGCAGACGGGUGAGUAACGCAUGGGAACGUACCUUUUGGUUCGGAACAACUCCGGGAAACUGGAGCUAAUACCGGAUAAGCCCUAACGGGGAAAGAUUUAUCGCCGAAAGAUCGGCCCGCGUCUGAUUAGCUAGUUGGUGAGGUAACGGCUCACCAAGGCGACGAUCAGUAGCUGGUCUGAGAGGAUGAUCAGCCACACUGGGACUGAGACACGGCCCAGACUCCUACGGGAGGCAGCAGUGGGGAAUAUUGGACAAUGGGCGCAAGCCUGAUCCAGCCAUGCCGCGUGAGUGAUGAAGGCCUUAGGGUUGUAAAGCUCUUUUGUCCGGGAAGAUAAUGACUGUACCGGAAGAAUAAGCCCCGGCUAACUUCGUG